This 1958-nucleotide ribosomal RNA is filed under the name human gut metagenome. Its description in RNAcentral is "bacterial LSU rRNA". It matches the Rfam family "Bacterial large subunit ribosomal RNA", at positions 3 to 1996 of the family's 2925-position model. The record is from RNAcentral.
UUAAGCAAAAAAGAGCGCAGGGUGGAUGCCUUGGCACUAAGAGCCGAAGAAAGACGUGAUAAGCUGCGAAAAGCUGCGGGGAGAUGCAAAUAAUCCUUGAUCCGCAGAUGUCUGAAUGGGGAAACCCGGUACGAAGAACUCGUAUCAUCCAUACGCCAAUCCAUAACGUAUGGAGGGGAACCCGGUGAACUGAAACAUCUAAGUAGCCGGAGGAAGAGAAAGAAACAUCGAUUUUGUUAGUAGCGGCGAGCGAAAGCGAAAGAGGCCAAACCGGAGUGCGUGCACUCCGGGGUUCGGACCGCAUUUAAGAUUCAGUGAUUCUAGCAGAAAGGUUUGGGAAAGCCUGCCGGAGAGGGUGAAAGCCCCGUAAGCGAAAGGAGAGCUGACUGAGCGGGAUCCAGAGUACAUCGAGACACGAGAAACCUUGAUGGAAUGAGCGGGGACCACCCCGUAAGCCUAAAUACUACUUAGUGACCGAUAGCGCAUAGUACUGUGAAGGAAAGGUGAAAAGGACCCCGGGAGGGGAGUGAAAGAGAACCUGAAACCCUGUGUUUACAAGCUGUGGAAGUUCUUUAAAUGAACAACCGCGUACUUUUUGUAGAACGGUCCGGCGAGUUGCGGAUACUGGCAAGGUUAAGCACUUAAGGUGCGGAGCCGAAGGGAUACCAAGUCUUAACAGGGCGUAAAGUCAGUAUACGCAGACCCGAAACCGGGUGAUCUAUCCAUGUCCAGGUUGAAGUUGUCGUAAAAGACAAUGGAGGACCGAAGCCACAUCCGUUGAAAAGGGUGGGCAUGAGGUGUGGAUAGGGGAGAAAUUCCAAUCGAACCCGGAGAUAGCUGGUUCUCCUCGAAAUAGCUUUAGGGCUAGCCUCGAUUUAGUCUUAUGGAGGUAGAGCACUGAAUUUCCGCGGGGGCGUCAAAGCUUACCAAAGAAUAUCAAACUCCGAAUGCCAUGUAGAUGAUGAUCGGGAGUCAGACUGCACGAGAUAAGUUGGGCAGUCAAAAGGGAAAGAGCCCAGACCUACAGCUAAGGUCCCAAAGUGCGUGUUAAGUGGAAAAGGAUGUGGGAUUUCGAAGACAACUAGGAUGUUGGCUCAGAAGCAGCCAUACAUUCAAAGAGUGCGUAAUAGCUCACUAGUCGAGAGGUCCUGCGCCGAAAAUGUCCGGGGCUAAAACACACUGCCGAAGCUUUGGAAUUGAGAAUUCAAUUGGUAGAGGAGCAUUCUUAAAGGGACGAAGCAGUACCGUAAGGAGCUGUGGACUUUUAAGAAGAGAGAAUGCCGGAAUGAGUAGCGAGAGGAAGGUGGGAAUCCUUCCGGCCGAAUAUCUAAGGUUUCCAGAGUAAAGCUGAUCUGCUCUGGGUAAGUCGGGGCCUAAGCACAGGUCGCAAGACGUAAGCGAUGGAUAACAGGUUUAGAUUCCUGUACCACGCAUUAUCAGAACUGUAGGGACGCAUGUGGAAAGCACGAGCCGGGAAUGGAAAGACCGGUACAAGCGGGGUAGGUGUACAAUAGGCAAAUCCGUUGUAUGAUCCGAAGACGUGAUGUGGAGCGAAAUAAAGUAGUGAAGCGUGUGAGCCAUGUGCCGAGAAAAGCUGCUAUUGUGUAAUGCGUGCCCGUACCGUAAACCGACACAGGUGGAUGAGGAGAGAAUCCUAAGGCCGACGGAAGAAGCAUUGUUAAGGAACUCGGCAAAAUGACCCCGUAACUUCGGGAGAAGGGGUGCCUGCGAGAGCAGGCCGCAGAGAAUAGGCUCAAGCAACUGUUUAGCAAAAACACAGGUCUAUGCGAAACCGAAAGGUGAAGUAUAUGGGCUGACGCCUGCCCGGUGCUGGAAGGUUAAGAGGAGAGGUUAGCGCAAUCGAAGCUUUGAAUUUAAGCCCCAGUAAACGGCGGCCGUAACUAUAACGGUCCUAAGGUAGCGAAAUUCCUUGUCGGGUAAGUUCCGACCCGCACGAA